UGUAGGAGUGAGCCUGCUCGCGAUGGCGGUGUGUCAGUCAACCUUACAGCUACUGAUCCAACGCCAUCGCGAGCAGGCUCACUCCUACA
Molecule: unclassified non-coding RNA, 89 nt
Filed under: Pseudomonas granadensis
Lineage: Bacteria; Pseudomonadati; Pseudomonadota; Gammaproteobacteria; Pseudomonadales; Pseudomonadaceae
Also listed under: 1 other name
Source: RNAcentral